CUUGUAGAACAAGGUGAAGGAGAUGAUUCUGCUCAGCACUCAGCAGUGGCCAUAUCUCCACUUGUAGUGACUUGACUGACAGCUUCUGUGUCCUUUUCGUGGG
Molecule: microRNA precursor, 103 nt
Filed under: Canis lupus familiaris (dog)
Lineage: Eukaryota; Metazoa; Chordata; Mammalia; Carnivora; Canidae
Also listed under: 1 other name
Description: mir-1184 microRNA precursor family
Rfam family: mir-1184 microRNA precursor family
Source: Rfam by way of RNAcentral